This 74-nucleotide transfer RNA is filed under the name Chlamydotis macqueenii (Macqueen's bustard). Its description in RNAcentral is "Chlamydotis undulata macqueenii tRNA". It matches the Rfam family "tRNA". From Rfam's summary of the family: Transfer RNA (tRNA) molecules are approximately 80 nucleotides in length. Their secondary structure includes four short double-helical elements and three loops (D, anti-codon, and T loops). Further hydrogen bonds mediate the characteristic L-shaped molecular structure. tRNAs have two regions of fundamental functional importance: the anti-codon, which is responsible for specific mRNA codon recognition, and the 3' end, to which the tRNAs corresponding amino acid is attached (by aminoacyl-tRNA synthetases). tRNAs cope with the degeneracy of the genetic code in two manners: having more than one tRNA (with a specific anti-codon) for a particular amino acid; and 'wobble' base-pairing, i.e. permitting non-standard base-pairing at the 3rd anti-codon position. The record is from Rfam by way of RNAcentral. Lineage: Eukaryota; Metazoa; Chordata; Aves; Otidiformes; Otididae.
GUCUCUGUGGCACAAAUGGUUAGCACAUUUGGCUAUUAACCAAAAGGUUGGUGGUUUCAGCCCACUCAGGGAUG